This is a non-coding RNA of Odobenus rosmarus divergens (Pacific walrus), 73 nucleotides long. The record is from the annotation of a RefSeq genome assembly. Lineage: Eukaryota; Metazoa; Chordata; Mammalia; Carnivora; Odobenidae.
GCCUGGCUCGCUCAGUUGGAAGAGUGUGUGGCUCUUGAUCUCGGGGUCGUGGGUUCGAACCCCACGCUGGGUA